This 274-nucleotide ribosomal RNA is filed under the name uncultured bacterium. Its description in RNAcentral is "partial 16S ribosomal RNA". It matches the Rfam family "Bacterial small subunit ribosomal RNA", at positions 523 to 796 of the family's 1533-position model. The record is from RNAcentral.
AUACGGAGGGUGCAAGCGUUAAUCGGAAUUACUGGGCAUAAAGCGUACGUAGGCGGUUAUUUAAGUCAGAUGUGAAAGCCCCGGGCUUAACUUGGGAACUGCAUUUGAAACUGGGUAACUAGAGUUUAGUAGAGGGGAGUGGAAUUUCAGGUGUAGCGGUGAAAUGCGUAGAGAUCUGAAGGAACACCAGUGGCGAAGGCGACUCCCUGGACUAAAACUGACGCUGAGGUACGAAAGCGUGGGUAGCAAACAGGAUUAGAAACCCUAGUAGUCC